Long non-coding RNA from Camelina sativa (false flax), 1020 nucleotides. RefSeq lists it as uncharacterized. Lineage: Eukaryota; Viridiplantae; Streptophyta; Magnoliopsida; Brassicales; Brassicaceae. The record is from RefSeq and is a predicted model, not a curated record.
UUUUUCUUUCUCUCCCUUUCUCUACAGCCUUCGUGUUUGAUUUGGAAUUUUUUUUUUCAUUCUCUACUCGGGUUUGAUUUGGAAUUUGAGAGGGUGAUUCCCUUUGUUCCUUCACUUCUCAUGUUUCUGAUUGAAAAUCUCUGGAUUUGGUUUUGUAGUUUUCUAGAUCAGAUUUCACUAUCUUCUCUUUGUUUCUUUCACUCAUCCAGUGAGAAGGAAUCGUCUUUCAUGUAUUCUUCUGUGUAAUGGCGAGGGAUUCUGUUUAUUUGUGAGGAAUCAGGAUUAACUUUUGAUUCUCCGUUAUCAAAUUCAUGGAACUUAUCGUUCACACCAAGACCUAUAAAAACCUCUGUGGUUGUUGAUUUAAUUUAAUUUUGGUGUAGAACUUCAUCAAAGAUUUUUGUGGUAUUAUUGGUUCAGAUCUUCCAUUGCCUCCAGUGCUAGCUGUUCUGCUUUUGCUUUACUUAGCCAUUUGAUUCUACAUAUCUCUAUUGUCUUUGAAACAUAGACGUUUCUUAAAACUGUUAGCUUACACUACUGAUCCAAGAUAUUAAACCCCCAUGUUAAGAUCUCAUAAUGCCACUUUGUGAAGCUUGUAUCUCACUGAAUCUUGCGACUUUCUGUGGAACAUGAUUAUGUAUCCACUGUUUUCGAUAACUUAAGCGCUAAUGACUAAUGUGAUAACUAGGAUUGUGGGAUAUCGCAGGUCAGGAGGAUUAUAACAAAUUGAGACUUUUGAGUUAUUGCAGCGAUCAUAAGAUUUUUGGGGGAAGAUAAUAUUAGUUUGAGCUUUAUGAUCUGUACAGCUGCUUGACUAAUGUAAUCCUUCCCAUUGCAAUUGUCUCAGAUCAAAAAACUCAGCAAGAAGAUGCAGAAACAUGGCGCAAUCUUGCAUUGGAUACACAGUAAUAGCCACUUUGAAAGCUUCUUAAAGAUUCUUUUGUCUCUUGAUGUGUAUGAUCAAAAACAAAACUGUUGUAUGAUGAAGACAUAAUUGCGUUAUUGGAAUAAGUUUUUUUU